AGGGUCCGAGCGUUGUCCGGAAUUAUUGGGCGGAAAGGGCUCGUAGGCGGUUUGUCGCGUCGGGAGUGAAAACUCAGGGCUCAACCCUGAGCGUGCUUCCGAUACGGGCAGACUAGAGGUAUGCAGGGGAGAACGGAAUUCCUGGUGUAGCGGUGGAAUGCGCAGAUAUCAGGAGGAACACCGGUGGCGAAGGCGGUUCUCUGGGCAUGACCUGACGCUGAGGAGCGAAAGCAUGGGGAGCGAACAGG
RNAcentral lists this ribosomal RNA (248 nucleotides) under uncultured bacterium. Its description in RNAcentral is "partial 16S ribosomal RNA". It matches the Rfam family "Bacterial small subunit ribosomal RNA", at positions 529 to 776 of the family's 1533-position model. The record is from RNAcentral.